AAACGGGGUCUAAUACCGGAUAACACUCUUGCGGGCAUCUGUGAGGGUUAAAAGCUCCGGCGGUGAAGGAUGAGCCCGCGGCCUAUCAGCUUGUUGGUGAGGUAAUGGCUCACCAAGGCGACGACGGGUAGCCGGCCUGAGAGGGCGACCGGCCACACUGGGACUGAGACACGGCCCAGACUCCUACGGGAGGCAGCAGUGGGGAAUAUUGCACAAUGGGCGAAAGCCUGAUGCAGCGACGCCGCGUGAGGGAUGACGGCCUUCGGGUUGUAAACCUCUUUCAGCAGGGAAGAAGCGAAAGUGACGGUACCUGCAGAAGAAGCGCCGGCUAACUACGUGCCAGCAGCCGCGGUAAUACGUAGGGCGCAAGCGUUGUCCGGAAUUAUUGGGCGUAAAGAGCUCGUAGGCGGCUUGUCACGUCGAUUGUGAAAGCCCGAGGCUUAACCUCGGGUCUGCAGUCGAUACGGGCUAGCUAGAGUGUGGUAGGGGAGAUCGGAAUUCCUGGUGUAGCGGUGAAAUGCGCA
This 524-nucleotide ribosomal RNA is filed under the name Paenibacillus sp. T0-YC6765. Its description in RNAcentral is "bacterial SSU rRNA". It matches the Rfam family "Bacterial small subunit ribosomal RNA", at positions 154 to 692 of the family's 1533-position model. The record is from RNAcentral. Lineage: Bacteria; Bacillati; Bacillota; Bacilli; Caryophanales; Paenibacillaceae.